ACGAACGCUGGCGGCGUGCUUAACACAUGCAAGUCGAACGGAAAGGCCCUGCUUGCUGGGUACUCGAGUGGCGAACGGGGGAGUAACACGUGGGUGAUCUGCCCUGCACUUCGGGAUAAGCCUGGGAAACUGGGUCUAAUACCGGAUAGGAGCCAUUUUUAGUGUGAUGGUUGGAACGUUUUUUCGGUGUAGGAUGAGCUCGCGGCCUAUCAGCUUGUUGGUGGGGUAAUGGCCUACCACGGCGGCGACGGGUAGGCGGCCUGAGAUGGUGGACGGGCACAUCGGGACUUAGAUUCGGCCCAGACUGCUACGGGAGGCAGAAGUGGGGAAGAUUGCACGAUGGGCGCUAGCCUGAUGCAGCGACGCCGCGAGGGGGAUGACGGCCUUCGGGUUGUAAACUCCUUUCGCUAGGGACGAAGCUUUUUGUGACGGUACCUAGAUAAGAAGCACCGGCUAACUACGUG
Molecule: ribosomal RNA, 464 nt
Filed under: uncultured bacterium
Lineage: Bacteria
Description: partial 16S ribosomal RNA
Rfam family: Bacterial small subunit ribosomal RNA
Source: RNAcentral